AUGCCCCAACCAAUCACAGCUUGUUUCCAGGCAGUUUCCAAAGCCAUCCAAUUACAGCCUGUUGCCAGGCAGGCUCCAUUUGCCAGGUGGGUUUCAAAGCCAUUCCUGAGUAACCGAUGCUCGCUUGCCAGCAGCCAUCUUGGCAUGGCCUUCUCAAAAAAAGAAAGCACAGGCCCCUCUCUCGGGGUGAACCCAUUCCAGGGCAUCCUGCCCUUCACAAAGAAAAGAGAACUCUCCCUGGGGCUCCUGCUGGCUUCUCUGGGAUCGGUCGCAUUAUCGAGAAAUUCUCAAGUUGCUUGUACUUUUGAAUCAUACUUUGAAGAAUUCUCUUAUUGGGCAACUCAGAAUAUGAAGGGAUUGAAUUAACAAAUGGUUCUGGAAUAAUUGAAUAUCCAAAUGCAAAUUAUAAACUUUACAUUUUACCACAGAGGAGAAUUCCAUAAUGGAUAAUUAGGGAAAAGAUGUACUGCUGUAAACUCUGGAGAAAUACAGAAGAAAGGGAGGAAGUGCAUCCAUGGAGCCACGGAGAAGGUGCAGAGCAGACAUGUAGCAAUGAACAUAGAAACCACACACAUCCCUGGCAUCAGGAAAAUGGAACUGGAGCAAAUGUCAGCUUUGGAGAUCAAGCUGAGAGCAGACUGCAGCAGCCCAUGCAACUGGUGAUAUAACCUAAGGAAGAGCCUUCUGGACCACACUGUCUGGCCUGCAGCCCUAAUGAGGGUCAAGGUACCCACCUAAUCAAGCAAAAGAAAAGUGUGUUUGUUUCCUCCCCAUUCCCCUGAUGAAGAUACUGAGCAACUGGCAGAAGAAGGCACCAUUUUGACACAAGUAGAGGCUGAGGUGUCUUUUGUGGGCACAUUUGAUCAGGAUAUAUUACCAGAGGGAAAAAUCUACAUUCAUCACUGACUUUGAGUCUCACUGGAAGGGUUGACAGAGUGCUAGGUACCCAUGUAAGACUGUGAAGUAACCCAUCCACUCAAUUUUCACAGGCUCCAGGGCUCAAACUCUCAAGCUAGAGCACCCAAAGGCACUGCCUCUGGGAACAUGUCUGCUCUCUGUGGACAGGAAAAUGUAAAUCCUCUGCACCUUGUGACUGUGAGAGCUUUGUGUUCUAUGACUGUGAGAACUAUGUGGUCUAUGUGGUUGCACAAUUAGACUCAAGUUAAAGCUGGAUCUCUGGGCAAUUAGUGUGUCUGAUGCCAGAGGAUCAGAGCUCCCUGCCUUCCUGGGUGGGUCAUUUGUAAUUCAUGUGACAACGUGAGUGUUGCCCCCACUGUAGGCUAACGGUGGGCAUUGAUCACCUGGUAAGAGAGGAAGUGAGGAGCUGAUUACACCAACAGAGGUGAACAUACACACCAUACUGCUGACAAUAGAGGAGAUCUACCACACCCAACUUGGCUGUCACCAGGGAUGCUUGCCCCACACUGAAGCACUGAUCAGAGCUCCCUGACCACAGUCAGUACCAAUGUUCAUUAGUACUUAGUCCACUAAGCCAUAGAGGCAUAGUUCAAAGCUAAAAUCCAUCAGAGAAUAAAACCAAUAAGAUCUUCCA
Molecule: long non-coding RNA, 1552 nt
Organism: Oryctolagus cuniculus (rabbit)
Lineage: Eukaryota; Metazoa; Chordata; Mammalia; Lagomorpha; Leporidae
Source: Ensembl